This 375-nucleotide ribosomal RNA is filed under the name uncultured bacterium. RNAcentral describes it as "bacterial SSU rRNA". It matches the Rfam family "Bacterial small subunit ribosomal RNA", at positions 28 to 387 of the family's 1533-position model. The record is from RNAcentral.
GAUGAACGCUGGCGGCGUGCUUAACAUAUGCAAGUCGAACGAAGCACUUGGACGGAUUUCUUCGGAAUGAAAGCCUUGUGACUGAGUGGCGGACGGGUGAGUAACGCGUGGGUAACCUGCCUCAUACAGGGGGAUAACAGUUAGAAAUGACUGCUAAUACCGCAUAAGACCACAGCUUCGCAUGAAGCAGUGGUAAAAACUCCGGUGGUAUGAGAUGGACCCGCGUCUGAUUAGGUAGUUGGUGGGGUAACGGCCUACCAAGCCGACGAUCAGUAGCCGACCUGAGAGGGUGACCGGCACAUUGGGACUGAGACACGGGCCCAAAUCCUACGGGAGCAGCAGUGGGGAAUAUUGCACAAUGGGGGAAACCCUGAU